Prosopis cineraria is the source of this 2274-nucleotide long non-coding RNA. RefSeq lists it as uncharacterized. The record is from RefSeq and is a predicted model, not a curated record. The transcript is spliced from 2 exons. NCBI's taxonomy places the organism in Eukaryota, Viridiplantae, Streptophyta, Magnoliopsida, Fabales, Fabaceae.
AAUGGCUUGGUGUAUUCAGCAUCGGCUUCCACGAUUGUUAAUUUGUGGUUAGCAAUGGCAAAGAAGUUCUCCGUGUUUAGACCUGCAUUAAUGAGUCUGAACAUAUAGGUCCUCCCGGUAAUGACAUCAAUUUUGUGGACAUCUGAAAUGUUGGGAGAAAAAACCUAUGAGGGGGAGAAAAAAAGGAAAAGCGGAGACAGAAACUUUAAAGUUCAAGCAGUUACAAGUUGUGAUAGAUUAUAUUAGAAGAGAAGUAAAGUCAGGUAUAUUUAUACUAGGUUAAAGUUAUCAGUCAUUUUGUUUUCUAGAGACUAUUAUUAAAACCAACUGUGAGGUAAUUUAAAGUUGUCUAGACAACAUAACAGUAUAUCACAAUCCUCGUCAUGAUCAGAUUGUAGUAUUGUUUGCCAUCUCAUAUACCAUUAGUGGAGCAAUUGUAGUUGGGGCCUGGAUGACCGUUAAUGGUGUAUGCAUCUGGUCUUGGAGGUGCUCCUCCACUUGCUAGAGUGGCUUGUUCAAUCUGUACAAGAUCCUUUAGCCAAUAUUCCCCUGCCAUUUUACCAUCCAAGUCAAAAGAACAGUAUUAUAUGUAGUCAUAAAACAUACCUAAAUAAAUACUCAAUUCAAAAUCAUAGAAGGAGAUGGCAUCUCUUUGAAAAGUUGGGUUCAAUUCUUUCCGGGAGCACUAUAGAAAUAAAAUCCUAAAUGCUCCAAGUUGAUGUAGGGGAAGUAAACCUUUGAAAGAUUGCCACAUGAGGAGAUUUAGCCCCAGAAUGCCUGAGGAUAUCUUUGGAUGUGAUCCUCCCCCCAAAAAAAAAAAAGUGGGAAGAACAUCUUUAGGUUACCCAGUAUGAUUGUUUGCUCUUGAUAGGGAAUCUUGAACGGGUAAGAGAACCCAGCCUUUGGAUAAACAAUCAUGGCACCAUAAACAGUUCCUCGGAGCCACGAAACAUGAGCAUGCCAGAAGAAUGUACCCUUCUGCUUCACCACUGUAAAAUUGUACGUGAAAGCUUGACCUGCUUGAAUUGGACAUUGUGUAAUAUAUGAUGGCCCGUCAUACCAGCAUGAAAGCUUCUGCCGAACACCAUGCCUAAGAUUUCAAAAUUUCAAUCUGGUGUUCAUAAAUCAUAUAAGAGUUAGUUUUAUGCAUGAGGUUUGACAUGGAUUACCAGUGGAUUGUGACAUUGAAAGGUGUCUGAUUGGUAACUUUAACGAUGAUUCUAUCAUCUUCUUGAGCAUAAACCACAGGUCCUGGAAACAUGCCAUUGAUUGUGACAAUGUCUUUGGAGCUGCAGAGUUUGGUAACUUUCUUGGUUUGUACCUGUAGACAGUACCAUCUUCAUUAGCUGAACAGAGAUGAAGUAUAAUGCAAUCCAAUGGAUGUUGGAUAUGGGUGUAUAAUGCAUGCUUAAAGAGUAAGAAAUUAGACCUUAAAAUCAUAGAACCUGGUUGGUCCUCCCACGGACCUUCCAUCUGCCAAAAGUUUCAGAUUGUAGAGAGUAGACAUUACGCUUAGCCCCAGAAGAAACAAGGUGACCGGGUUGGCCAUUUUUGGUUGUAGUGUUGGAGGUGGAGGCUUGAGGUAGAAGGGAUGCCCUUAAAAAGACCUGGUGGUCUCUCUGUGGGUUGAUUUAUUUUGUGGAAGGAAAAUAGAAAAAGAGAUUAUGUAGUUUCUCUUCUAUUUGUGAGCUUUCAUGAUUCCUCUAGCGUGGAUUGGUGAUUAUAAGAUGUUGGGAAAGUGAUUAUUCAACACGACCCCAUUGGUGGGGAAGAUUUCAGCUUGACUCGUGCAAAGCAUUUUGUGGAAAUCGGACUACAUGGCUGCAUUCUCCUUCAGAUUUUACUUGUAAUGUUGCUGUAAAGUGCUUGGGUUUCAACUCGCAGAGCAACCAUAUUUUGAUUGUCUUUUGUGACUCUAGUUUUUUGUGUUUUGGGGGGGUUGGUUGUGUUGAUUUCUGAAGAGGAGAUUAAAUGAAGCUCUGAAAAGACAAAGAUUUAGACAGCUCAGAACGUUGAUUUGUGCCUUUGUAUUUGAGGAAAAAGAUGAGAGCAAGGUAGGUCUCCUUCGUUGUGCUUUUAGUGGGCAUUGCCUUCUCAAUCCUAAGCAAAGUUGUUGCACGCCUUAACAUCCAAGACCACCAUUGUUGGUGAAUUUUACAGCACUCGCUCCCUCAAGAAGUGUUGAGAUUGAUUUGUACGUAUUUCAAAUAACUUCGAUUCAUCCACACUGUAAUUAAGAAAUGACAAGAUAUAUCGUGUCCUGAUCCUGAGAAA